AAGAGAUAAGUGCUGAAAGCAUCUAAGCACGAAACUUGCCCCGAGAUGAGUUCUCCCUGACCCUUUAAGGGUCCUGAAGGAACGUUGAAGACGACGACGUUGAUAGGCCGGGUGUGUAAGCGCAGCGAUGCGUUGAGCUAACCGGUACUAAUGAACCGUGAGGCUUAACCUUACAACGCCGAAGCG
Molecule: ribosomal RNA, 186 nt
Filed under: Escherichia coli
Lineage: Bacteria; Pseudomonadati; Pseudomonadota; Gammaproteobacteria; Enterobacterales; Enterobacteriaceae
Description: partial 23S ribosomal RNA
Rfam family: Bacterial large subunit ribosomal RNA
Source: RNAcentral